UCCAGGUGGCUCAAAUGGUAAAGAAUCUGCCUUCAAUGUAGGAGAUCCAGGUUCAAUCCCUGGGUUUGGAA
RNAcentral lists this transfer RNA (71 nucleotides) under Bos taurus (domestic cattle). It matches the Rfam family "tRNA". Rfam says of the family: Transfer RNA (tRNA) molecules are approximately 80 nucleotides in length. Their secondary structure includes four short double-helical elements and three loops (D, anti-codon, and T loops). Further hydrogen bonds mediate the characteristic L-shaped molecular structure. tRNAs have two regions of fundamental functional importance: the anti-codon, which is responsible for specific mRNA codon recognition, and the 3' end, to which the tRNAs corresponding amino acid is attached (by aminoacyl-tRNA synthetases). tRNAs cope with the degeneracy of the genetic code in two manners: having more than one tRNA (with a specific anti-codon) for a particular amino acid; and 'wobble' base-pairing, i.e. permitting non-standard base-pairing at the 3rd anti-codon position. The record is from Rfam by way of RNAcentral. RNAcentral also lists the same sequence under 4 other names. Lineage: Eukaryota; Metazoa; Chordata; Mammalia; Artiodactyla; Bovidae.